GAGCCCAGCUCCUCUGCAGCACCCACUCAGCUCCGGGGACCCUUGCGCUCCCCACGACAUGCCACAGGGCACACUGUUGAGUGACGCUGGCCGGUUCUCCUGGUUCUGCCCAGAGACCCCCAGGGGCGCUGCUCUCAGGCCUCUUCCCUGGAGCACUGAGCUUCCCGGCCACGUGUCGCACAGCCUCCUGGCAGCCUCAGGGACAGAUACCCCUCAGCCAGGCAGCCCAGCGGGGGGUCUCAGGACCUGCUCCCUUGGCUGGUAGUUGGAAUGCGGGGGCAAAGAGCAACUCCUUUCCUACCCUUCCCUCGGGGAAAGGGGAAGACAUGCCCUGUCCACUCCCAGACCCUCCCAAGGGAAAAGAGGCUGCAAAACACCAUUUGGUGAGAGGCCUGGUGGAGCCAGGAGACGCAGGCGCUCAGGGAGAGACAGGCCCCUCCACACCGGGGCCUCCUUCUGGAAACUUAGUUAGAAUUUGUCCCUGAAUUAUAAUAAGACAGCCUCUACUUUGAAAAGAAACCGGCUUUGAUGUAUUGUUUGGCGGCAGCUCCCCAACACUGAGAUCUGACGUGCCCCCAGAUUCCCUGGGCUCAGAAAACAGGACACGCCGAGGACAUAGAAGCCUGGCACCAGGCGCAGAGCUUCCGCCACCAAGGAUGUUCCAGCAGAGACCACACAGCCGCGUGGCCUGGACUCGAAGCCAUCGAAGUUUUGAAUCUCUAAGUCCUUAUUUCUUGCCAGCCCAACUAUUAAUAAAUCAAAAGCUCCUUGGAGCGUUGGUUUUUAUUUUCUUCUCCCCUAGAACAGUG
RNAcentral lists this long non-coding RNA (809 nucleotides) under Homo sapiens (human). RNAcentral's name for it is "HSALNT0158198". Lineage: Eukaryota; Metazoa; Chordata; Mammalia; Primates; Hominidae. The record is from RNAcentral.